Molecule: ribosomal RNA, 591 nt
Filed under: uncultured bacterium
Lineage: Bacteria
Description: bacterial SSU rRNA
Rfam family: Bacterial small subunit ribosomal RNA
Source: RNAcentral
AGAGUUUGAUCCUGGCUCAGAAUCAACGCUGGCGGCGUGCUUAACACAUGCAAGUCGCACGAGAACUCUUUAAGCUUGCUUAGAGAUAGUAAAGUGGCGCACGGGUGAGUAACGCGUGGUAAUCUACCCUUGAAUCCGGAAUAACUCGCCGAAAGGCGUGCUAAUACCAGAUAAUAUCAUUUUAACUUCGGUUUAAAUGACCAAAGGUGGCCUCUACAUGUAAGCUACCGUUUAAGGAUGAACCCGCGUACCAUUAGCUUGUUGGUGGGGUAAUGGCCUACCAAGGCGACGAUGGUUAGCUGGUCUGAGAGGAUGAUCAGCCACACUGGAACUGACACACGGUCCAGACUCCUACGAGAGGCAGCAGUGAGGAAUUUUGCGCAAUGGGGGAAACCCUGACGCAGCAACGCCGCGUGAGUGAUGAAGGCCUUCGGGUCGUAAAGCUCUGUCAAGUGGGAAGAACCUGAAAAAUGAUAAUACCAUUUUUUACUGACGGUACCACUGAAGGAAGCACCGGCUAACUCCGUGCCAGCAGCCGCGGUAAUACGGAGGGUGCAAGCGUUAUUCGGAUUUACUGGGCGUAAAGGGCGC